This 602-nucleotide long non-coding RNA is filed under the name Mytilus galloprovincialis (Mediterranean mussel). The record is from RNAcentral. Lineage: Eukaryota; Metazoa; Mollusca; Bivalvia; Mytilida; Mytilidae.
GUUGCAUAAAAUUUUGUGAAAGUGUUAGUUAUUGUCCCAAAAUUCGAAAAUCCCCCCUUUUUUAAGCAUAAAAAUUCAUAACACGGAAAUGUAAAAUCUGAAAUUUAUAAAAAUUGAAAGGGAGCUUACAUCAAUAGAUAUAAACAAUUCACCAAAGUUUCAUGGGCAUUGGUGAAAGCUUUUUGAGUUAUUGUCCGAAGUGUUGAAAAUCCCCCUUUUUUAUGAAUAAAGCCCCAUAAAUCCAAAACUUAAAAUCUGAAAUUUAUAAAAAUUAAAAGGGAGCUUACAUCAAUAGAUAUAAACAAUUCACCAAAGUUUCAUGGACAUUGGUGAAAGCAUUUUUGAGUUAUUGUCCGAAGUGUUGAAAAUCACCCUUUUUUUUAUGAAUAAAAAACCCCAUAAAUCCAAAACUUAAAAUCUGAAAUUUAUAAAAAUUGAAAGGGAGCUUACAUCAAUAGAUAUAAACAAUUCACCAAAGUUUCAUGGACAUUGGUGAAAGCCUUUUUGAGUUAUUGUCCGAAGUGUUGAAAAUCCCCCUUUUUUUUAUGAAUAAAGCCCCAUAAAUCCAAAACUUAAAAUCUGAAAUUAUAAAAAUUGAAAGG